RNAcentral lists this small RNA (26 nucleotides) under Bombyx mori (domestic silkworm). RNAcentral's name for it is "ovarian small RNA-11688". The record is from RNAcentral. Lineage: Eukaryota; Metazoa; Arthropoda; Insecta; Lepidoptera; Bombycidae.
ACUGAAAGAAGUCGAUCGCUAAAGUG